RNAcentral lists this ribosomal RNA (253 nucleotides) under uncultured bacterium. RNAcentral describes it as "partial 16S ribosomal RNA". It matches the Rfam family "Bacterial small subunit ribosomal RNA", at positions 524 to 776 of the family's 1533-position model. The record is from RNAcentral.
UACGUAGGUGGCAAGCGUUAUCCGGAAUUACUGGGCGUAAAGCGCACGCAGGUGGUUUGCUAAGAUUGACGUGAAACCUUCUGGCUUAACUGGAAGAGGUCGUUGAUGACUGGCAGACUUGAGACGAGGAGAGGGGUGCAGAAUUCCCGGUGUAGUGGUGGAAUGCGUAGAGAUCGGGAGGAAUACCAGAGGCGAAAGCGGCACCCUGGCCUUAGUCUGACGCUCAGGUGCGAAAGCGUGGGGAGCGAACGGG